This 1473-nucleotide long non-coding RNA is filed under the name Pogona vitticeps (central bearded dragon). RNAcentral describes it as "lncRNA (ENSPVIG00000012017.1)". The record is from RNAcentral. Lineage: Eukaryota; Metazoa; Chordata; Lepidosauria; Squamata; Agamidae.
AUGGGGGGCUCACUGCGGAAACCAUCAUAUGCAUGCCCUCCGGUCACUCCAGGAAAAACAGUUUCACAUCAACCACCUGGAGAUUCUAGCAAUCAUGAAGGCUCUCAAAGCUUUCUUCUCCCUAGUACAUGGUCGUGGUGUUCAAAUAGUCACAGACAACACUACAGCCAUGUACUACAUCAACAAACAAGGGGGCACACAUUCUCACUCUCUUCUGUUCCUGACGGUGAUGCUUUGGGAGUGGUGCUACCGUCAUCAUAUUUUUCCGGUAGCAGUUCACGUGUCGACGGAGGACAAUGCCCUAGCCGACGAACUCAGUCAGCGCAAGAGCCAAAUGCACGAAUUGGAACUGGAUGCCUUGGUCUUUCACGACCUGUGUCACCGUUGGGGCACACUUGUCAUAGAUGUUUUUGCCACUCAACAGAAUGCGAAAUGACCACGCUAUGCGUCCAGGGCAGGACGAGGAGAAGGAUCAAUGGGGGACGCCUUUAUGAUAUCAUGAAAAGUGGGCCUACUCUACCCAUUUCCUCUGGUACAGAAGACACUAGUGAAGCUCCAUCAGGAGUCUCCAGAGGCGAUUCUAGUGGCACCCUUCUGGCCUCAUCAGCCGUGGUUCCCAACCUUAGUGUCAAUGGCAACAGAUCAUGUGAGACUUCCGCGUUCUCCCGAUCUACUCACACAGGAUUCAGGCAGAAUUUUCCACCCAGAUCUGAACACGAUUCACCUCACUGCAUGGAAAAUAUCCCCGAGAUCAAGGAAAUCAUAGACAAGUCCAAGAAGACUUCAACCUCCUUGUUAUAUAGUUACAAAUGGAAAAGUUUCCUUAAGUUCACAGAAUCCAGAGGCCUUUCUUCUUCUCUGGUCUCUCUUUCCACAUUGUUGCAGUUCUUGCAUUACCUGUUCGAUUUUCAAUUAUCGAUCUCCACUCUGAAAGUCUACAUUGCGGCCAUCGUCUCCUUCCAACCUCGAGAUUCUCCUGCUUCCUGCUUGUUUUCUCACCCUACGAUUAAAGCCUUCCUCAAAGGACUCACCCAUUUGAGACCCCCGGUUAAACCACCCGUACCACAAUGGUCGCUUCAUUUGGUGCUACACUCACUAAUGAGCCCACCCUUUGAACUGCUUGCUUCCUGUGAUCUAAAGAUGUCCCUCAAGGUGUUAUUUUGGUGGCUAUCACAUCUGCUCGCAGAGCUGGAGAGCUUGCUGCCCUUCGAGCCGAUCAACCUUUCUUACAGUUUUUUCACAACAAAGUGGUACUGCAUACUGAUGUCUCGUUUCUCCCAAUUUCACUUAAACCAACCUCUCAUACUGCCUACUUUGUUUUCAAAACCUGCCAAUGACACGGAGCACAUGCUCCACUCUUUGGAUGUUAGGAGAGCACUUUCCUUUUAUGUUUCACAGACUAAGGACUUUAGAUUGUCUCCUAAACUUUUUCUGUGUUACAGUGGUGCCUCGCUUAACAAGCACACCGUUUAA